RNAcentral lists this ribosomal RNA (619 nucleotides) under Desulfuromonadales bacterium. RNAcentral's name for it is "partial 23S ribosomal RNA". It matches the Rfam family "Bacterial large subunit ribosomal RNA", at positions 840 to 1447 of the family's 2925-position model. Lineage: Bacteria; Pseudomonadati; Thermodesulfobacteriota; Desulfuromonadia; Desulfuromonadales. The record is from RNAcentral.
AGGAAAUAGCUGGUUCUCCCCGAAAUAUAUUUAGGUAUAGCCUUGUUGGAUUCAUCGUAGUGGUAGAGCCACAGUUGGAGUUUUAGGGGCGCAAGCUUACUAGAUUCUUACUAACUCCGAAUGCUGCGAUGUUUGAAAACAGGAGACAGACUGCGAGGGCUAAGCUUCGUAGUCGAGAGGAAAACAGUCCAGACCAUCAGCUAAGGUCCCUAAAUGUCCGUUAAGUGGUAAAAGAAGUAAAAACGCAAUGACAGCCAGGAGGUUGGCUUAGAAGCAGCCAUCCUUUAAAGAAAGCGUAAUAGCUCACUGGUCAAGUAUUUUUGCGCUGAAGAACGAACGGGGCUAAACGGACUACCGAAGCUAUGGUCUAGAACAACUACGGUUGUUCUAGAGGUAGGGGAGCGUUCCUUGAUAGAUACAAGUUUGACCGUAAGGACAGAUUAUGAGAUCAAGGAAGUGAGCAUGUUGGUAUAAGUAACGAAAAAACAGAUGAAAUUUCUGUUCGCCGCAAGUCUAAGGUUUCCGUGAGAAAGGUUCAUCCACUCAGGGUUAGUCGAUACCUAAGCCGAGGCCAAUUGGAGUAGGCGAUGGAAAAGCAGGUUAAAUAUUCCUGCACCAC